Non-coding RNA from Trichobilharzia regenti, 73 nucleotides. Lineage: Eukaryota; Metazoa; Platyhelminthes; Trematoda; Strigeidida; Schistosomatidae. The record is from Rfam.
GCCUCUAUAGCUUAGUGGUCGGAGUACUGGUCAUGUAAACCAGGGGUCGGGAGUUCGAUCCUCCUUGGGGGUG